UACGAGGACCCCGAGCGUUAUCCGGAUUUAUUGGGCGUAAAGAGUGCGCAGGAGGUCGUGUGCGUCAGGCGUUAAAUGUCUCAGCUUAACUGGGUCGCCGCGUCUGAUACGGCACGACUAGAGCAUGUUAGAGGUUACUAGAACUUAUGGUGUAGGGGUGAAAUCCGUUGAUAUCAUAGGGAAUACCAAAGGCGAAGGCAUGUAACUGGAACAUUGCUGACUCUCAUUGCACGAAAGCGUGGGGAGCAAACAGG
Molecule: ribosomal RNA, 254 nt
Filed under: uncultured bacterium
Lineage: Bacteria
Description: partial 16S ribosomal RNA
Rfam family: Bacterial small subunit ribosomal RNA
Source: RNAcentral